AUCCGGCUGAUGAAUCCCAAAUAGGACAAAACGUACGUCCUUGAU
Molecule: non-coding RNA, 45 nt
Organism: Schistosoma mansoni
Lineage: Eukaryota; Metazoa; Platyhelminthes; Trematoda; Strigeidida; Schistosomatidae
Source: Rfam